This 778-nucleotide ribosomal RNA is filed under the name uncultured Neocallimastigales. Its description in RNAcentral is "partial large subunit ribosomal RNA". It matches the Rfam family "Eukaryotic large subunit ribosomal RNA", at positions 26 to 635 of the family's 3401-position model. Lineage: Eukaryota; Fungi; Neocallimastigomycota; Neocallimastigomycetes; Neocallimastigales. The record is from RNAcentral.
CGUCUAUAUACGUAUAGCAUAUCAAUAAGCGGAGGAAAAGAAACUAACAAGGAUUCCCUCAGUAACGGCGAGUGAAGCGGGAAGAGCUCAAAUUUGAAAUCUUCAAGGUUCUACCUUGACGAAUUGUAGUUUAAAGAAGUGUUUUCUGUUGGAGUUUUGGUAAAAGUUCUUUGGAAUAGGACAUCAUAGAGGGUGAGAAUCCCGUAUUUGACCAUUAUUUCAAGCUGUGUGAUACACUUUCAAAGAGUCGGAUUGUUUGGGAAUGCAGUCCAAAAUGGGUGGUAAAUUUCAUCUAAAGCUAAAUACUUGGCGAGAGACCGAUAGCGAACAAGUACCGUGAGGGAAAGAUGAAAAGAACUUUGAAAAGAGAGUUAAAACAGUACGUGAAAUUGUCAAAAGGGAAGCGUUUGACACCAGUGUUGUUUUCUCGAAAAUCAAUUAAAAAAUGGCCGGAUGUUGUGUUGUAUUGACCUUAUAAGCUUUCUGCACUCUUUUUCUUAUCUUUUUUAAUGCACUUUUCGUUUAACAAGUCAACAUCAGUUUCUUUUGUUGUAAAAGGGUCAUCGGAAGGUGGCUUUCUUUUCGGAGAAAGUGUUUAUAGCCUUUGAUCUCUGCAACCGGAGAGACUGAGGUCUGCAGCGUAGACUCUUCGGGGUUAAAUACAUUUGUGCUAAGCUAUAGCUUUUUAUAGACAACUUGUUGACUAUAUUUAGUCUUGUGGCUUACUCGCUUAUGCUAUUUUACCUACGCUUAGGAUGUUGAUAUGCAUGACUGAUAU